Molecule: small nuclear RNA, 103 nt
Organism: Meriones unguiculatus (Mongolian gerbil)
Lineage: Eukaryota; Metazoa; Chordata; Mammalia; Rodentia; Muridae
Source: Ensembl
GAACUGUGCUCGCUUCGGCUACUAAAGUCGGAAUGACACAGAGAAGAUUAGCAUCGCCCCGUGCAAGGAUAGCACACAAAUUCGUGAAGCAUUCCAUAUUUUU